This 250-nucleotide signal recognition particle RNA is filed under the name Cercocebus atys (sooty mangabey). RNAcentral's name for it is "Metazoan signal recognition particle RNA (ENSCATG00000018295.1)". It matches the Rfam family "Metazoan signal recognition particle RNA". From Rfam's summary of the family: The signal recognition particle (SRP) is a universally conserved ribonucleoprotein. It is involved in the co-translational targeting of proteins to membranes. Lineage: Eukaryota; Metazoa; Chordata; Mammalia; Primates; Cercopithecidae. The record is from RNAcentral.
GCUGGGCAUGAUGGUGCAUGCUUGUAGUCUCAGCUACUCUAGGACUUCUGGGCUGUAGUGUGCUAUGCCAAUUGGGGUCCACACUAUGUUCUGCAUUAAUAUGUUGACCUCCCAAGAACGGGAAACCACCAGGUUGCCUAAGGAGGAGUGAAUCAACCCAGGACAGAAACAAAGCAAGUCAAAACUUCCCUGCUGAUCAGUUGUGGUAUCAAGCCUGUGAAUAGCCACUGCAAUCCAGCCCAGGCAACAU